Long non-coding RNA from Homo sapiens (human), 461 nucleotides. Lineage: Eukaryota; Metazoa; Chordata; Mammalia; Primates; Hominidae. The record is from Ensembl.
AGCUUCCGGAAUAUGGGGGCCUUUGUCUCCGGCUGCAGCUGGAGUUCUACGUCUAGUCUUCAGAGGCCCAGUCUCCGUGACUUUGUGACCUGCAGGUAUUGGGAGAUCCACAGCUAAGAUGCCAGGACCCCCUGGAAGCCUAGAAAUGGUGAACAGGGUCUGGAGUGGACCUCUAGCAAGCUGCAACAGACCUGCGGAAGAGAGGCCUGUUAGAAGAAAAACUAACAAACAGAAAGCAACAACAUCAACAUCAACAUAAAGGACCACCACACAAAAACCCCAUCCAAUGUCAUCAGCCUCAAAGAUCAAAGGUAGAUAAGUCCAUGAAGAUGAGUAAAAACCAGUGCAAAAACACUGAAAAUUCAAAAAAUGAGAAUGCCUCUUCUCCUUCAAAUGAUCACAACCCCUCUCCAGCAAGGGCACAAAACUGGAUGGAGCAGGCUGGGUGCAGUGGCUUAAGC